CAGAAGGUAUAGUAUCCAAAUAACAUGAGUUCCAGAGAGAGAGAGAAGAGAAAACAAAGGGGAGGAAAUUAUCAAUGAAAUCACGUAAGAAAAUUUCCCACAACUGAAGGACAUGAACUUCCAUAUUGAAAAGGCCUAGAAAAUUCCCUGAGCAAUGAAUACAAAAGGGACCACACUAGGAUACAUCAUUGUGAAAUUUCAGAAAGCCAAGAAUUUAAAAAAAGACCCUCAAAGUUUCCCAAGGGUGGGAAUUAGAAGAGCAAUGGGCAUUUUGGCAGCAAUCCUUUGGAAGCCAGAAUAAAAUGCAUUAAGUGUUCAAAAUUCCUCCUGAGAGUUAUUUAUAGCCUAGGAUGCUACAUCCAGUCAGAUAUGAGAGAAGAAUAGAGCUAUUUUCAUAUGUGCAAGACCUCAAAUAUUUACCUUUCGUGUAAAUUCAUGAGUUCUCAGGCAGUGGUUAGAGGAGAUAGUCCACUAAAAUGAGGACUAACCCAAGCUGGAGAAGACUUGGCUUCCAUGAACAGGGGACCCGACACGGGAGCCAGGUGGAAAGGAGGCUCGGGAUGCCAGCUCUGCAGCAGUCUUAGCACCAACCCACGUGGGAGGAGAAAGACGAGGAGCUCCAGGAUGAAUAACUCCAUGAAGAAAUGGAUUGAUGACCUAUGUUCGCAAAGGUAAUAUUCUGUUUGGUAUACCCUCUCUAUGGAUUCUAGCGCAGGCUUCCAGAAUUCAAUUGGGAUAAGGUUAAAAGUUUCAGUUCAAAACUGAAGUUUUCUCUGAAGCUGAGUUUCAGAAAUCAGG
This is a long non-coding RNA of Mirounga angustirostris (Northern elephant seal), 798 nucleotides long. RefSeq lists it as uncharacterized. Lineage: Eukaryota; Metazoa; Chordata; Mammalia; Carnivora; Phocidae. The transcript has 2 exons. The record is from RefSeq and is a predicted model, not a curated record.